AUUGAACGCUGGCGGCAGGCUUAACACAUGCAAGUCGAGCGGGGUGAUGGUGCUUGCACUAUCACUUAGCGGCGGACGGGUGAGUAAGGCUUAGGAAUCUGCCUACUAGUGGGGGACAACAGCUCGAAAGGGAUGCUAAUACCGCAUACGUCCUACGGGCGAAAGCAGGGGAGCUUUAUGACCUUGCGCUAAUAGAUGAGCCAAAGUCGGAUUAGCUAGUUGGGGGGGUGAAGGCCUACCAAGGCGACGAUCUGUAGCGUGUCUGAGAGGAUGAUCCGCCACACGGGGACUGAGACACGGCCCAGACUCAUACGGGAGGCAGCAGUGGGGAAUAUUGGACAAUGGGGGGAACCCUGAUCCAGCCAUGCCGCGUGUGUGAAGAAGGCCUUAUGGUUGUAAAGCACUUUAAGCGAGGAGGAGGCUCUUUUGGUUAAUACCCAGAAUGAGUGGACGUUACUCGCAGAAUAAGCACCGGCUAACUCUGUGCCAGCCGCCGCCGUAA
Molecule: ribosomal RNA, 502 nt
Filed under: uncultured bacterium
Lineage: Bacteria
Description: partial 16S ribosomal RNA
Rfam family: Bacterial small subunit ribosomal RNA
Source: RNAcentral